CCUACGAGAGGCAGCAGUGAGGAAUAUUGGUCAAUGGGCGCGAGCCUGAACCAGCCAAGUAGCGUGAAGGAUGACUGCCCUACGGGUUGUAAACUUCUUUUAUAAAGGAAUAAAGUGAGGCACGUGUGCCUUUUUGUCUGUACUUUAUGAAUAAGGAUCGGCUAACGCCGUGCCAGCAGCCGCGGUAAUACGGAGGAUCCGAGCGUUAUCCGGAUUUUUUGGGUUUAAAGGGAGCGUAGAUGGGUUGUUAAGUCAGUUGUGAAAGUUUGCGGCUCAACCGUAAAAUUGCAAUUGAUACUGGCAGCCUUGAGUACAGGUGAGGUAGGCGGAAUUCGUGGUGUAGCGGUGAAAUGCUUAGAUAUCACGAAGAACUCCGAUUGCGAAGGCAGCCUACUAAACUGCCACUGACAUUGAUGCUCGAAAGUGUGGGUAUCAAACAGGAUUAGAUACCCCAGUAGUC
RNAcentral lists this ribosomal RNA (460 nucleotides) under uncultured bacterium. RNAcentral's name for it is "partial 16S ribosomal RNA". It matches the Rfam family "Bacterial small subunit ribosomal RNA", at positions 338 to 795 of the family's 1533-position model. The record is from RNAcentral.